This 451-nucleotide ribosomal RNA is filed under the name uncultured Pseudoalteromonas sp. Its description in RNAcentral is "bacterial SSU rRNA". It matches the Rfam family "Bacterial small subunit ribosomal RNA", at positions 1077 to 1532 of the family's 1533-position model. The record is from RNAcentral. Lineage: Bacteria; Pseudomonadati; Pseudomonadota; Gammaproteobacteria; Alteromonadales; Pseudoalteromonadaceae.
UGGGUAGUCCGCACGAGCGCACCCUAUCCUUAGUUGCUAGCAGGUAAUGCUGAGAACUCUAAGGAGUCUGCCGGUGAUAAACCGGAGGAAGGUGGGGACGACGUCAAGUCAUCAUGGCCCUUACGUGUAGGGCUACACACGUGCUACAAUGGCGCAUACAGAGUGCUGCGAACCUGCGAAGGUAAGCGAAUCACUUAAAGUGCGUCGUAGUCCGGAUUGGAGUCUGCAACUCGACUCCAUGAAGCCGGAAUCGCUAGUAAUCGCGUAUCAGAAUGAUGCGGUGAAUACGUUCCCGGGCCUUGUACACACCGCCCGUCACACCAUGGGAGUGGGUUGCUCCGGAAGUAGAUAGUCUAACCCUCGGGAGGACGUUUACCACGGAGUGAUUCAUGACUGGGGUGAAGUCGUAACAAGGUAGCCCUAGGGGAACCUGGGGCUGGAUCACCUCCUU